GGUUACCUUCAAGAACCUGGAGAUCUGGACCUUUUCGGAGAAAUAAAAACCUGAACGUUUUAUUUAGAGAUUAAGGCCACGUGGGCCACCUCUUUGUGAAACUUCUACUGAAGAAACCCAAGGCAAAUCUGCUACUAAGAGUCAGACUGCCAUCCUGAAGGAAGAAGGAGCUGAAACCAACCUUUCCCAUAUUUUUGGGCCUGUUGGGUUUUAGAAUCCAGAUGUCACUAAGUUGAAACGGGUCCAAUUUCCAAGCUCGAAGUUGCCAUCUUAGCCAUAUUUACUCACAGCUGGUGAUUUAUGAACGCCUGGCAAAGCGGAAGGGAGAAAACAAUCCAAACAUCCAAGGCUUCACUGUGGUGGUCAACCUCUCCACCUUGUGAAUGGUUGACUCUGAGAAGAGUUACCGAACAGCCUCGCCUGGAUUUAAGGCAUCCUUUCAACAAAGAGGAGACCUUUCCUAAAUCUUCAACUCCACUAAAUCACCCCCCCCCCCAUAAAACAAGUGAAAACAAUGCAAGGCAAUCAAGGCACACGACUGGACUUUGCAUACUUACCGACCUCAUUCCCUCAAUUGCUUGCUUUUAGAUGGUUAAGGACCCUUGCAAAGAUAAAUCAGGUAGGUUGGAUUGGGAAAGGCAAAGGGGGAAAAGGGGGGAGGCUGGAAGGAAAGGAAGCGAGGGUGGGGUGUUUUUUUGGAAAGUCAAAGAGGAAGUUCCCUUUCACUUCGGAAAGAAUCACUCCUCCUAGUGAGAAGUGASGGCCGGAGAUCCAUUCCUGGAGAUCGACAUUAAUUAUUUAAUGAGACACGUGACACUUAUCCUCAAUAACCCCCCGCCACCCCACCCCAACACAACGGAUUAAAAUUUCAAUAACCCAGAACAGACGCCAACACCUUUAUCUCCCCUGGCAGCUCUUCUCUCUAGCUUGUUUAGGCCUCAUAACCUCUCCGGGUUUUGACAGCUUUUCAGUUUCUGGGGAGAUUGUUGGUGCAUUAAUAAGGAGGUCCUGUCAGGGCCUCCUAGAAUAAAAGAGCUCUCUGGUUCA
Non-coding RNA from Anolis sagrei ordinatus, 1047 nucleotides. Lineage: Eukaryota; Metazoa; Chordata; Lepidosauria; Squamata; Anolidae. The record is from RefSeq and is a predicted model, not a curated record.